GACGAACGCUGGCGGCGUGCCUAAUACAUGCAAGUCGAACGCAGUGGGGACGGGUGAGUAACACGUGGGUAACCUCCCAUCAGAGGGGAUAACACUUGGAAACAGGUGCUAAACCGAUACUGAUGGAUGGACCCGCGGUGCAUUAGCUAGUUGGUGAGGUAACGGCUCACCAAGGCCACGAUGCAUAGCCGCGCGGAGAGGUGGAUCGGCCAUACUGGGACUGGGACACGGCCCAGACUCCUAGGGGAGGCAGCAGUAGGGAACCUUCGGCAAUGGACGAAAGUCUGAGCGAGCAACGCCGCGUGAGUGAAGAAGUUUUUCGGAUCGUAAAACUCUGUUGUUAGAGAAGCGGUAGCUAACGAGAAAGCGACGGCUAACUGCGUGCCAGCAGCGCGGUAAUAC
This 402-nucleotide ribosomal RNA is filed under the name uncultured bacterium. Its description in RNAcentral is "partial 16S ribosomal RNA". It matches the Rfam family "Bacterial small subunit ribosomal RNA", at positions 28 to 526 of the family's 1533-position model. The record is from RNAcentral.